GUCGAGAAUUUUUCACAAUGGGCGCAAGCCUGAUGGAGCGACGCCGCGUGGGGGAUGAAUGGCUUCGGCCCGUAAACCCCUGUCAUUUGCGAUCAACCGUUAUUAUUUAAAAGAUGAUGACCUGAUAGUAGCGAAAGAGGAAGGGACGGCUAACUCUGUGCCAGCAGCCGCGGUAAUACAGAGGUCCCAAGCGUUGUUCGGAUUCACUGGGCGUAAAGGGUGCGUAGGUGGCAUGGUAAGUCGGAUGUGAAAUCUCCGAGCUCAACUCGGAAAUGGCAUUGGAAACUGCCGUGCUCGAGGGUUGGAGGGGGGACUGGAAUACUUGGUGUAGCAGUGAAAUGCGUAGAUAUCAAGUGGAACACCAGUGGCGAAGGCGAGUCCCUGGACAACUCCUGACACUGAGGCACGAAAGCUAGGGGAGCAAACA
RNAcentral lists this ribosomal RNA (427 nucleotides) under uncultured bacterium. Its description in RNAcentral is "bacterial SSU rRNA". It matches the Rfam family "Bacterial small subunit ribosomal RNA", at positions 354 to 774 of the family's 1533-position model. The record is from RNAcentral.